This 483-nucleotide ribosomal RNA is filed under the name uncultured bacterium. RNAcentral describes it as "partial 16S ribosomal RNA". It matches the Rfam family "Bacterial small subunit ribosomal RNA", at positions 30 to 506 of the family's 1533-position model. The record is from RNAcentral.
AUUGAACGCUGGCGCCAGGCCUAACACAUGCAAGUCGAGCGGAUGAAGGGAGCUUGCUCCUGGAUUCAGCGGCGGACGGGUGAGUAAUGCCUAGGAAUCUGCCUGGUAGUGGGGGAUAACGUCCGGAAACGGGCGCUAAUACCGCAUACGUCCUGAGGGAGAAAGUGGGGGAUCUUCGGACCUCACGCUAUCAGAUGAGCCUAGGUCGGAUUAGCUAGUUGGUGGGGUAAAGGCCUACCAAGGCGACGAUCCGUAACUGGUCUGAGAGGAUGAUCAGUCACACUGGAACUGAGACACGGUCCAGACUCCUACGGGAGGCAGCAGUGGGGAAUAUUGGACAAUGGGCGAAAGCCUGAUCCAGCCAUGCCGCGUGUGUGAAGAAGGUCUUCGGAUUGUAAAGCACUUUAAGUUGGGAGGAAGGGCAGUAAGUUAAUACCUUGCUGUUUUGACGUUACCAACAGAAUAAGCACCGGCUUACUUCGU